RNAcentral lists this ribosomal RNA (470 nucleotides) under uncultured bacterium. RNAcentral describes it as "bacterial SSU rRNA". It matches the Rfam family "Bacterial small subunit ribosomal RNA", at positions 28 to 507 of the family's 1533-position model. The record is from RNAcentral.
GACGAACGCUGGCGGCGUGCUUAAUGCAUGCAAGUCGAGGGAGAACCAGUUGCUCCGUAAGGAUCAGCUGGGGAAACCGCGAACGGGUGCGUAACACGUGAGGAACCUGCCCUGGAGACCGGGAUAGCCCGAGGAAACUCGGAUUAAUACCGGAUACUCUCAUUGGACCGCAUGAUUCGAUGAGGAAACAGUCCGCUGCUCCAGGAUGGCCUCGCGGCCUAUCAGCUUGUUGGUGAGGUAACGGCUCACCAAGGCAACGACGGGUAGCUGGUCUGAGAGGACGAUCAGCCACACUGGGACUGAGACACGGCCCAGACUCCUACGGGAGGCAGCAGCAGGGAAUAUUGCACAAUGGGCGAAAGCCUGAUGCAGCGACGCCGCGUGCGGGAUGAAGGCCUUCGGGUUGUAAACCGCUUUCAGGAGGGACGAAAAUGACGGUACCUCCAGAAGAAGGCCCGGCCAACUACGUG